Molecule: ribosomal RNA, 710 nt
Filed under: uncultured bacterium
Lineage: Bacteria
Description: bacterial SSU rRNA
Rfam family: Bacterial small subunit ribosomal RNA
Source: RNAcentral
AUUAGAUACCCUGGUAGUCCACGCCCUAAACGAUGUUAACUAGUUGUUGGGAAGUAAUAUUCUCAGUAACGCAGCCAACGCGAGAAGUUAACCGCCUGGGAAGUACGGUCGCAAGACUAAAACUCAAAGGAAUUGACGGGGACCCGCACAAGCGGUGGAUGAUGUGGAUUAAUUCGAUGCAACGCGAAAAACCUUACCUACCCUUGACAUGUCAGGAAGCUCUUGUAAUGAGAGUGUGCCCGCAAGGGAGCCUGAACACAGGUGCUGCAUGGCUGUCGUCAGCUCGUGUCGUGAGGUGUUGGGUUAAGUCCCGCAACGAGCGCAACCCUUGUCACUAGUUGCUACGAAAGGGCACUCUAGUGAGACUGCCGGUGACAAACCGGAGGAAGGUGGGGAUGACGUCAAGUCCUCAUGGCCCUUAUGGGUAGGGCUUCACACGUCAUACAAUGGUCGGAACAGAGGGCAGCGAAGUCGUGAGACGGAGCCAAUCCCAGAAAACCGAUCGUAGUCCGGAUUGCAGUCUGCAACUCGACUGCAUGAAGUCGGAAUCGCUAGUAAUCGCGGAUCAGCAUGCCGCGGUGAAUACGUUCCCGGGUCUUGUACACACCGCCCGUCAAACAAUGGGAGUGGUGUUUACCAGAAGUCGUUAGCCUAACCGCAAGGAGGGCGGCGACCACGGUGAGCACCGUGACUAAUGUUAAGUCGUAACA